AAUCAACGCUGGCGGCGUGCCUCAGACAUGCAAGUCGAACGAGAACCUCCCUUCGGGGAGGAGACAGUGGCGCACGGGUGAGUAACACGUGGGUAAUUUACCUUUGGGUGGGGAACAACAGCCGGAAACGGCUGCUAAUACCGCAUAAUGCAGCGGCUCGACAUCGAGACAGUUGUUAAAGCGGAGGAUCGCAAGACCUCGCGCCUGAAGAGAAGCCUGCGGCGGANAGUCUAGUUGGUAGGGUAAUGGCCUACCAAGGCGACGAUCUGUAACCGGCCUGAGAGGGCGGUCGGUCACACUGACACUGACA
This 310-nucleotide ribosomal RNA is filed under the name uncultured bacterium. RNAcentral describes it as "bacterial SSU rRNA". It matches the Rfam family "Bacterial small subunit ribosomal RNA", at positions 32 to 324 of the family's 1533-position model. The record is from RNAcentral.